Molecule: long non-coding RNA, 333 nt
Organism: Contarinia nasturtii (swede midge)
Lineage: Eukaryota; Metazoa; Arthropoda; Insecta; Diptera; Cecidomyiidae
Exons: 3
Source: RefSeq, a predicted model, not a curated record
AUUAUUAGUGCGAAUCGUUCGUUCUUUAUUCUCAAAUUGAAAAAUAAAAAUGAAUUUCAAAGUUUUGUUUACAAUCGUAAUGGUGUUUAGUUUGAUUUCUAUGACAUCAUCAGGUCCAUGGCUGCCGGAAUAUGUUACGGAGGAUGUGCAGCAGUUGUUUGCGCCUGUUUCGCCGCGGCUGGUUUCACUUUCGGCACGGUUCCACUUUCCAUUAUCGCUGCAACCCCAGCACUGGCUGCCUGUAAUGCAGCUUUCGCCACUUGCGAGGCCGCUUGUAUAGCUGCAUUAGUUGCACCGACAUUUUAAAUUCAUGAAGAAGAUUCAGCAUAUUCC